This is a non-coding RNA of Acanthosepion pharaonis, 99 nucleotides long. Lineage: Eukaryota; Metazoa; Mollusca; Cephalopoda; Sepiida; Sepiidae. The record is from the annotation of a GenBank genome assembly.
GUUGAAACAUCGGUUCCCAUAUGAUCACCAAAGUUAAGCAAUAUCGAACAUGGCCAGUUCCUACAUGGGUGACCGCUUAGGAAUAAUAGGUGCUGUAAG